GAACUCCUUACCCCAGCUGCCUGGCUGCCCUCAGCUUCCCAAAGCUCAAAUAAGAGGGGCCGGCGGCGCGGGGAAGAGGAGGAGCCAGGAGGCUCGGCCGCUCCAUUCACUCAGCAGCCCAAGCCCGGCCAGGCAGCGCGCGCUGCUCCUUGGGGGCGCCCUCGCAGCUGGGGUGAGGGCGGGUCCGAGGGAGCGUCCCUCUCGGAGACACCCUCCUCUUCAACCCAACACGCGCUCUCAGCUGGCCGGUGUGGCACAACCCUCCCCCCACCUCCCCUUCUUGGCCUUCGCCAGUGUGGGAGCCUCGUCUCACUGGAGAGUCCGUUCAGGCUCUGUCACUAUUUCCCAUUGGCCAAACGCUACUGGAAGUGGAAGGCUAAGAAGCCCGAUGGUGCAAUCCAUACACGUCAGCCUCUGGGGCCAGAGUGGGAUGAAAAAAGGCUCAUGAUGGAGCCCGAGUUAUAUGGCAGGAGAUGAUUUCCACGGUCUGUGAACACUGAAGAUGAGACUGGCUUGGGGCCACGUGCCAAACUGCACAGCCAGUAAGACCUGCUUCCAUCGACCCACAGCAGCUCUGACUUUUUUUUUUUAACAAUAGAGAAGAAACUACCACAGGGAAGAGAGAGAACAAUGGCAUUUUGACAAAUGGAACAAAGAUAGAGUGUGACUGACAAUUCAGGUCAGAAGGAAAAUUAAAGCACAGGAAGACUGAUGUUGGUCGGCCUCCUUGCCAAGAAGCAAAAACUCAGGGGGAGGCAUCCAGCCACAUGCGAACUGGCUCAACACUGGCCAUUUUGUUUGAGCAAUUUUGUUGGAUGUUUUCUACAAAAGAGCACUUUUUCUCGGACUUCAAACAUUCUUAUAUGCAGGAUCGACACCACACACUGCCAUCAUCCCCUGGAGUAGUAUCCUUGAGACCUGAGGAGGGGAAAACUGGAGGGACGUUGUGGGACUCCAUUGAGAAAUGUGGUCCUUUGUCUCCCUGGAGAUCUUUGAGGACGGUUCAGAUAAAGUUGCUGCCAGUGGAAGCAGCUAGGCUCAGAAACCUCCAGUUGCCCUUUCUAGACUUGUAAUCCUCUGAAAAAUGGAAAUUAGGAAGCGUUCAUUUAUGACCUUGAAAAAAAUCGUUUACAAAAGUAUAUUAUAUCACUAAAAUGAGCUGGAAAAAGGGUUUAUGUGAAAGUUCAUGUGAGAAACACAGCUAUUAGCACGCAUGCCAUUCCCCACCUUGACCUCAGCAGGAAUGUGUAAAUUGUAACAUAUGGAAUGUAAGCCCUGUCGAGAUGUUUCAUAAAUCUGCCUGGCAAUGAGCAUCACAAGGCCCUGCAUGAGAACAGGCCCCAGAAAUGGAGAGACAAAUAAAGAAACAUCAGAAAUAUUAAAAUGAGGACCAAAAGGAGUCCCAGAGAUGGGGUUUCACCGUGUUAGCCAGGAUAGUCUCAAUCUCCUGACCUCAUGAUCCGCCUGCCUUGGCCUCCCAAAGUGCUGGGAUUACAGGUGUGAGCCACCAUGCCCAGCCAAAUUUUCAAAUAAAUAA
This 1537-nucleotide long non-coding RNA is filed under the name Homo sapiens (human). Its description in RNAcentral is "non-protein coding WT1-AS:6". The stretch from base 221 to 329 matches the Rfam family "WT1 antisense RNA conserved region 1". Lineage: Eukaryota; Metazoa; Chordata; Mammalia; Primates; Hominidae. The record is from RNAcentral.